RNAcentral lists this ribosomal RNA (260 nucleotides) under uncultured bacterium. RNAcentral describes it as "partial 16S ribosomal RNA". The record is from RNAcentral.
CUGCUGCCUUCCGUAGGAGUUUGGACCGUGUCUCAGUUCCAAUGUGGGGGACCUUCCUCUCAGAACCCCUACGCAUCGUCGGCUUGGUGGGCCGUUGCCCCACCAACUACCUAAUGCGCCGCAUGCCCAUCCAUGACCGGGGUCGCCCCCUUUGACCGGCAGGGGAUGUCCCCUCCCGGCAUUAUGUUGUAUUAGGCGGGAUUUCUCCCGGUUAUCCAUCUGUCACGGCCAGGUUGCAUACGUGUUACUCACCCGUGCGG